Molecule: ribosomal RNA, 266 nt
Filed under: uncultured bacterium
Lineage: Bacteria
Description: partial 16S ribosomal RNA
Rfam family: Bacterial small subunit ribosomal RNA
Source: RNAcentral
GUCCACGCCCUAAACGGUGGGUACUAGGUGUAGGGCUCGUAAGGGUUCUUUGCCGAAGGGAAACCAUUAAGUACCCCGCCUGGGGAGUACGGCCGCAAGGUUGAAACUCAAAGGAAUUGACGGGGGCUCACACAAGCGGUGGAGGAUGUUGCUUAAUUCGAAGCAACGCGAAGAACCUUACCAGGGUUUGACAUGCAGGGAUAACCCCCAUGAAAGUGGGGGAUUGCCUUCGGGUGUAACCUGCACAGGUGUUGCAUGGCUGUCGU